GGAGUCUGGGCCGUGUCUCAGUCCCAAUGUGGCCGUCCACCCUCUCAGGCCGGCUAUGGAUCGUCGCUUUGGUGGGCCGUUACCCCGCCAACUGGCUAAUCCAACGCGGAGCCAUCCUGUACCACCGGAGUUUUUCACACUUGACCAUGCGGUCAUGUGCGCUUAUGCGGUUUUAGCAGCCAUUUCUGGUUGUUAUCCCCCUGUACAGGGCAGGUUCUCCACGCGUUACUCACCCGUCCGCCACUAACUUUUCAAAUCCUUCAACCGAAGUCUCAUUCAUUGUAAAGUCCGUUCGACUUGCAUGUGUUAGGCACGCCGCCAGCGUUCAUC
Molecule: ribosomal RNA, 330 nt
Filed under: uncultured Coprococcus sp.
Lineage: Bacteria; Bacillati; Bacillota; Clostridia; Lachnospirales; Lachnospiraceae
Description: partial 16S ribosomal RNA
Source: RNAcentral